GAUGAACGCUGGCGGCGUGCCUAAUACAUGCAAGUCGAGCGAACAGACGAGGAGCUUGCUCCUCUGACGUUAGCGGCGGACGGGUGAGUAACACGUGUAUAACCUACCUAUAAGACUGGGAUCACUUCGGGAAACCGGAGCUAAUACCGGAUAAUAUAUUGAACCGCAUGGUUCAAUAGUGAAAGACGGUUUUGCUGUCACUUAUAGAUGGAUCCGCGCCGCAUUAGCUAGUUGGUAAGGUAACGGCUUACCAAGGCAACGAUGCGUAGCCGACCUGAGAGGGUGAUCGGCCACACUGGAACUGAGACACGGUCCAGACUCCUACGGGAGGCAGCAGUAGGGAAUCUUCCGCAAUGGGCGAAAGCCUGACGGAGCAACGCCGCGUGAGUGAUGAAGGUCUUCGGAUCGUAAAACUCUGUUAUUAGGGAAGAACAAAUGUGUAAGUAACUAUGCACGUCUUGACGGUACCUAAUCAGAAAGCCACGGCUAACUACGUG
RNAcentral lists this ribosomal RNA (497 nucleotides) under uncultured bacterium. RNAcentral describes it as "partial 16S ribosomal RNA". It matches the Rfam family "Bacterial small subunit ribosomal RNA", at positions 28 to 507 of the family's 1533-position model. The record is from RNAcentral.